Syzygium oleosum is the source of this 2538-nucleotide RNA transcript. It is a transcript of the gene named protein PXR1, with no coding region annotated. The record is from RefSeq and is a predicted model, not a curated record. Lineage: Eukaryota; Viridiplantae; Streptophyta; Magnoliopsida; Myrtales; Myrtaceae. The transcript has 7 exons.
GCAAGUUUUCCUCAGGAGCAGCAGCAGCGCGAGAGAGAGAGAGAUGGUGGGCAAGGGGAGGCGGCGGCGAGAGAAGAACUACAGGGCGGCUCACGGCGGCGGCACCGCCCUUCCUCCGCCGCCGGAUCCCUCCCAGGUGGACGCUCUGCCUUCCAAGCUCCGCAGGCUCAUCUCCUUCGCUUCCUCUCCACCUCCACCUCCCCAAGGUGCGGCGAAUGAUUCGAAUGCCGGUAAGACCUGCAAGAGGAGCGAGUCGGGAGACGAUGAAAAACACUCUCGGAAGGGUGGGCUUGACUCAAAAGCUACUGCAAGUGAAGUUGGAGGUGGUGAUGAACGGUUAACUACGCCUUGGAACGACAAUGAUGAAAUCAGUCGGAAGAGUGCAGGUAAAAAGAGAAAGAGGAAAGGAAAGAAAGGGCAACCCGAAGAUCUUCGAUUUCAAGCGCCGGAGGAAUCAAGCACCAGUUCUAGAAGGAAGGAACGCAAGAAAAUGUAUAGAGAAUCAAAAAAAAAGAAACACAAGAAGGCCAAUGAUAAGGAUGACAUGGACUUUCCCGGACAUGAGAAGGUCAAAUUUGGAGACAUUGUUGAAGCUCCGCCCAAAUUGACCAUGAUCCCUAAGGCAAUGAAGACCCUGCAAAAUGCAUCCCAACAGAGACUUCGUUUACAGGUUAUUGUACAAAUAUUGCAAAGGAUGGGCAGCUAGGUUCGCCACCCUACUUCCUUCGACAAUAGGUUAGAGGUUUGAACUUUAAUUCUCACAAGUGAACAGAAGAUUACCACAGGGACUGCAGGAUACAGCCUCAAUGUCUCUGUGAGUGUUGCAUGAAGAUAGUGCAUUCGGUCGAGCACCGGAUCAGUUAUUCUUUCCACAAAACAGUCAGGGUUAGCUUCACUUGCUUGAUCUCCAAUCACUUCCUUUAUUUCGUCGACAAUCUUUUGCUGCACUAGGGGGUGUUUGCAUAGCAUGUAGAGGAACCAUGAUAAGGUAUUUGCACUAGUAUCUUUCCCAGCGAUCAUGAAAUUCAGAAUUAUAUCCCUCAAGUACUUAUCAUUCAUAUUCUCGGGCUCUUUCUUGCUCUCGAGCAAAAAUCUCGAGAGAAUGUCCUCCUUGUCAUUCUUGAAGGAAAAAAAGGGAAAAGGAAAAAUCAGUCAGAGGAAUUGCCAAAGAGAAAACCUGCAAAACAUUACGGGUAUAUGAUGAAAACAAUCUUUAGAUGGUGCCAAGAGUUUUUUUAGCCAGAAUUCCUCCUCUGAAAACUUUAAUGUACUUGAGCUUCUACAGAAUUCUUCCAUAGUUCUUAUUAUUCAAAUCUUCCCCAACAUUACAUGUCCUACUGCCUCUUCCAAAUUUGAGUUGUGGCUUGACAAAAGAAGAGCGGAAACUUCAAAAAUUGGAUGGCUAUAUGUACACUAAGUACUCUCCAAUGAAAAAAAAGAAUGUACUCACACGCUGUACUGGGAGUUGAUUCCUCUUGGUUCUGAUAAGUUGGUGCACGAAAUUGUCGAUGAGUUUGAUGUUAUUUCCAAGACGAGCUUCUGAUCCGAUUUUGAGAAGUCUUUUGAGAUUCCAAGAGGGAUCUACAUAUCGCCAGUAGAUUAGUGCAUGCGCCUCAUCAAAAGCUCUCAUGAAGGCUCUUCCCUCUUUGCUUGAUCCAUCCAAGCAAUUCAAUUCUACACCAAAUCCAACUUUGAAGAUGGAAUCCAAAGUGCAUCUCAUCAAUAUAUCCUACAGACACGAUGAUUGGUUUUGAUCCUCAUGGAGUUCUCCUCCUUCAAAUAUAAAAAAUACUCACUUGCAUAUCGAAUCCCUCAGAAGCAGCCGAUAACUCCUCCACAACCUUGACCAGCUUCGCAGAAUUCUUUCUGAACACGCAACAGCUAAAAUCUCUGAGCACCCUUGUUGCAAACUCAAAGCUCGCGACCUUCCUCUGCUUCUUCCACUUCUCUCCAUCCACCGCGAAAAUACCCUCCCCGAACAAAUCCUUGACUAUAUCUAUGUCAUACUCUCCCUUUGUGUACUUCUCGAACUUUGUCUUCAAUAUGUACUCAACGUUCCUUGGAUCAGCCGUGUAAAUCGCACUAUGGGCCAGCGUGAGGAGCCGGAACGUCGUAGUUCUCCUUGCGACUUCAGUUUGGUAGUCAUAGAGCCGGUUGAAGUGCGCGGUUAGACCAAAGACCGUCCCGUGAACGGGCGGAUACUUGGAGCUUCGGAGGGACUUGCCAGUGAAGGUUUUCAGGAGAAGGAGAGCAAAGGCGACAGAGAGAGCGAUUGGAACGAGUGCCACAGAGUAGAGCAUCACAGACACAAUGUUGAUGUCCAUUUUUUUUUGCGAAGAAGAUGGAAGGUAAUGACUAUGAAGAUCAAGCAUAUGAUAUUCUUCCGUUGAUAUAUGUGUCAAGACUAUUGACUUUUCCUUUUGUUUUACUUAUUAUAAUAAUGCGGAAGGAAGAUUUAAACUAAUGAUUGUGAUUGAGAUGUGCUUAGGUGUUAAGCUGAGAUUCUGAGUAGGAAUUGAUGUGCAUGUACUGGUUUCA